UGAUGUGAGGGCAAUCUGGCUAAGACAUCUGUCACUCCAUUGAUCACCAGGGUUGAUUCAGCUGAUCUGGUUGGCUAGGAGAGUGUCCCCUUCCUCCCUUACCACUCCAUGUGAGUCCCUCUGGAAGUUGCACUCUUGGUGGAAGAGGACUGCCUUCCCCGAAUAGAGAUGGACCCUUCUUCAGUGGAGAGUAUAGGAGUAGCUGUUCUCCCCUGCUAGAACCUCCAAACAAGCUUUCAAAGGCCAUUGCUAGUUCUUUUAGAUGCUGAGAAGCAGAUAAGCAAAAGAUAAGAACAGAUAAGGGACUGGCUGGGUGAGACAGAGGGAGUGACAGAGAGAAGUCACCAUAGUGCCCAAACUU
Unclassified non-coding RNA from Erinaceus europaeus (western European hedgehog), 361 nucleotides. Its record names the gene 7SK. It matches the Rfam family "7SK RNA". From Rfam's summary of the family: 7SK was discovered as an abundant small nuclear RNA in the mid-70s but a possible function has only recently been suggested. Two independent studies have found that 7SK RNA binds the CDK9/cyclin T complex (known as elongation factor P-TEFb). The record is from Ensembl. Lineage: Eukaryota; Metazoa; Chordata; Mammalia; Eulipotyphla; Erinaceidae.